Molecule: ribosomal RNA, 967 nt
Filed under: uncultured bacterium
Lineage: Bacteria
Description: bacterial SSU rRNA
Rfam family: Bacterial small subunit ribosomal RNA
Source: RNAcentral
GUAACAUAUAGUUAAUGUACCUUCAAGACUGGGAUAGCCACUGGAAACGGUGAUUAAUACUAGAUAUACCUUCAUAUCACAAGCUAUGAAGGGAAACGUUUUUUCGCUUGAAGAUCAGACUAUAUCCCAUCAGUUAGUUGGUAGGGUAAUGGCCUACCAAGGCAAUGACGGGUAGCGGGUUUGAGAGGAUGAUCCGCCACACUGGUACUGAGACACGGACCAGACUCCUACGGGAGGCAGCAGUGAGGAAUAUUGCACAAUGGAGGAAACUCUGAUGCAGCAACGCCGCGUGGAGGAUGACGCAUUUCGGUGUGUAAACUCCUUUUAUGAGUCAAGAAAAUGACGGUAGCUCAUGAAUAAGCACCGGCUAACCCCGUGCCAGCAGCCGCGGUAAUACGGAGGGUGCAAGCGUUACUCGGAAUCACUGGGCGUAAAGGACGCGUAGGCGGGAUGUCAAGUCAGGUGUGAAAUCCUAUGGCUCAACCAUAGAACUGCAUUUGAAACUGGCAACCUAGAGUAUGGGAGGGGGAGAUGGAAUUAGUGGUGUAGGGGGUAAAAUCCGUAGAUAUCACUAGGAAUACCUAAAGCGAAGGCGAUCUCCUGGAACAUAACUGACGCUAAGGCGUGAAAGCGUGGGGAGCAAACAGGAUUAGAUACCCUGGUAGUCCACGCCCUAAACGAUGAACACUAGUCGUCGUGAUGCUUGUCAUUGCGGUGAUGCACUUAACAGAUUAAGUGUUCCGCCUGGGGAGUACGGUCGCAAGAUUAAAACUCAAAGGAAUAGACGGGGACCCGCACAAGUGGUGGAGCAUGUGGUUUAACUCGAAGAUACGCGAAAAACCUUACCUGGCCUUGACAUUGAUAGAAUCCAGCAGAGAUGCAGGAGUGCCCUUCGGGGAGCUUGAAAACAGGUGCUGCACGGCUGUCGUCAGCUCGUGUCGUGAGAUGUUGGGUUAAGUCCCGCAAC